RNAcentral lists this small RNA (881 nucleotides) under uncultured Mycobacterium sp. Its description in RNAcentral is "bacterial SSU rRNA". The stretch from base 1 to 472 matches the Rfam family "Bacterial small subunit ribosomal RNA", at positions 1064 to 1533 of the family's 1533-position model. The record is from RNAcentral. Lineage: Bacteria; Bacillati; Actinomycetota; Actinomycetes; Mycobacteriales; Mycobacteriaceae.
GUCGUGAGAUGUUGGGUUAAGUCCCGCAACGAGCGCAACCCUUGUCUCAUGUUGCCAGCGCGUUAUGGCGGGGACUCGUGAGAGACUGCCGGGGUCAACUCGGAGGAAGGUGGGGAUGACGUCAAGUCAUCAUGCCCCUUAUGUCCAGGACUUCACACAUGCUACAAUGGCCGGUACAAAGGGCUGCGAUGCCGUGAGGUUAAGCGAAUCCUUUAAAGCCGGUCUCAGUUCGGAUCGGGGUCUGCAACUCGACCCCGUGAAGUCGGAGUCGCUAGUAAUCGCAGAUCAGCAACGCUGCGGUGAAUACGUUCCCGGGCCUUGUACACACCGCCCGUCACGUCAUGAAAGUCGGUAACACCCGAAGCCAGUGGCCUAACCCUUGUGGGGGGAGCUGUCGAAGGUGGGAUCGGCGAUUGGGACGAAGUCGUAACAAGGUAGCCGUACCGGAAGGUGCGGCUGGAUCACCUCCUUUCUAAGGAGCACCACGAAAUACGCCCCGCAUCUUCGUGGGGUGUGAGCCGUGAAGGGGUGCGCUGCUGUAGUGGCGCGCACCGGGUGCACGACAACAAUUUCCCUCGUCAUUGUGUGGUGGGGGCAUGAAUCGCCGGACACACUAUUGGGCCCUGAGACAACACUCGGCUGGUCCGUGUGGAGUCUCCCCAUCUUGGUGGUGGGGUAUGGUGUUUGAGUGUUGGAUAGUGGUUGCGAGCAUCUAAGCAAGAUCGCUGUAUUUUUUGCAGUGUUUUUUGUUGAGUGUUUUUUUGUGUUUGUAAGUGUUUAAGGGCGCAUGGUGGAUGCCUUGGCAUCAGGAGCCGAUGAAGGACGUGGGAGGCUGCGAUAUGCCUCGGGGAGCUGUCAACCGAGCGUGGAUCCGAGGAUGU